UACGUAGGGUGCAAGCGUUGUCCGGAAUUAUUGGGCGUAAAGAGCUCGUAGGCGGUCUGUCGCGUCUGCUGUGAAAACUCAGGGCUUAACCCUGAGCUUGCAGUGGGUACGGGCAGACUAGAGUGCGGUAGGGGAGACUGGAAUUCCUGGUGUAGCGGUGGAAUGCGCAGAUAUCAGGAGGAACACCGGUGGCGAAGGCGGGUCUCUGGGCAGUAACUGACGCUGAGAAGCGAAAGCGUGGGGAGCGAACAGG
Molecule: ribosomal RNA, 253 nt
Filed under: uncultured bacterium
Lineage: Bacteria
Description: partial 16S ribosomal RNA
Rfam family: Bacterial small subunit ribosomal RNA
Source: RNAcentral